RNAcentral lists this transfer RNA (74 nucleotides) under Ferruginibacter sp. RNAcentral's name for it is "tRNA-Lys". It matches the Rfam family "tRNA". From Rfam's summary of the family: Transfer RNA (tRNA) molecules are approximately 80 nucleotides in length. Their secondary structure includes four short double-helical elements and three loops (D, anti-codon, and T loops). Lineage: Bacteria; Pseudomonadati; Bacteroidota; Chitinophagia; Chitinophagales; Chitinophagaceae. The record is from RNAcentral.
AGUUUCGUAGCUCAAUGGUUAGAUGCACCGAACUUUUAAUUCGGUGGUUGUGAGUUCGAGUCUCACCGGAACUA